RNAcentral lists this ribosomal RNA (254 nucleotides) under uncultured bacterium. RNAcentral describes it as "partial 16S ribosomal RNA". It matches the Rfam family "Bacterial small subunit ribosomal RNA", at positions 524 to 776 of the family's 1533-position model. The record is from RNAcentral.
UACGUAGGGGGCGAGCGUUGUCCGGAUUUAUUGGGCGUAAAGAGCUCGUAGGCGGUUUGGUAAGUCGGGUUUGAAAUCUCCACGCUCAACGUGGAGGGGCCACUCGAUACUGCCAUGACUCGAGUCCGGUAGAGGAGUGUGGAAUUCCCGGUGUAGCGGUGAAAUGCGCAGAUAUCGGGAGGAACACCCGUAGCGAAGGCGGCACUCUGGGCCGGAACUGACGCUGAGGAGCGAAAGCGUGGGGAGCAAACAGG